AGUGAACGCUGGCGGUAGGCCUAACACAUGCAAGUCGAACGGCAGCACAGUAAGAGCUUGCUCUUACGGGUGGCGAGUGGCGGACGGGUGAGGAAUACAUCGGAAUCUACUUUUUCGUGGGGGAUAACGUAGGGAAACUUACGCUAAUACCGCAUACGACCUACGGGUGAAAGCAGGGGAUCUUCGGACCUUGCGCGAUUGAAUGAGCCGAUGUCGGAUUAGCUAGUUGGCGGGGUAAAGGCCCACCAAGGCGACGAUCCGUAGCUGGUCUGAGAGGAUGAUCAGCCACACUGGAAGUGAGACACGGUCCAGAGUCCGACGGGAGGCAGAAGUGGGGAAUAUUGGACAAUGGGCGCAAGCCUGAUCCAGCCAUACCGCGUGGGUGCAGAAGGCCUGCGGGUUGUAAAGCCCUUUUGUGGGGAAAGAAAAGCAGCAGGUGAAUACCCCGCUGUGCUGACGGUACCCAAAGAAGAAGCACCGGCUAACUUCGUG
This 492-nucleotide ribosomal RNA is filed under the name uncultured bacterium. Its description in RNAcentral is "partial 16S ribosomal RNA". It matches the Rfam family "Bacterial small subunit ribosomal RNA", at positions 29 to 507 of the family's 1533-position model. The record is from RNAcentral.